GGUCAGGUCGAGUAGACCAAGGCGCUUGAGAGAACUCUGCUGAAGGAACUAGGCAAAAUGGUACCGUAACUUCGGGAGAAGGUACGCUGUUGUUGGUGAUGGAACUCGCUUCCUGAGCUGACGACAGCCGCAGAAACCAGGCCGCUGCAACUGUUUAUUAAAAACAUAGCACUCUGCAAACACGAAAGUGGACGUAUAGGGUGUGAUGCCUGCCCGGUGCUGGAAGGUUAAUUGAUGGGGUUAGCGUAAGCGAAGCUCUUGAUCGAAGCCCCAGUAAACGGCGGCCGUAACUAUAACGGUCCUAAGGUAGCGAAAUUCCUUGUCGGGUAAGUUCCGACCUGCACGAAUGGCAUAAUGAUGGCGGCGCUGUCUCCAGCAGAGGCUCAGUGAAAUCGAAAUCGCUGUGAAGAUGCAGUGUACCCGCGGCUAGACGGAAAGACCCCGUGAACCUUUACUGCAGCUUGACACUGAACUUUGACCUUACUUGUGUAGGAUAGGUGGGAGGCUUUGAAGCUGGAACGCUAGUUCCAGUGGAGCCGUCCUUGAAAUACCACCCUGGUAAUGUUGAGGUUCUAACUCUGUCCCGUGAUCCGGGACGAGGACCGUGUCUGGUGGGUAGUUUGACUGGGGCGGUCUCCUCCUAAAGAGUAACGGAGGAGUACGAAGGUGCGCUCAGCGUGGUCGGAAAUCACGCGUAGAGUAUAAAGGCAAAAGCGCGCUUAACUGCGAGACCCACAAGUCGAGCAGGUACGAAAGUAGGUCUUAGUGAUCCGGUGGUUCUGUAUGGAAGGGCCAUCGCUCAACGGAUAAAAGGUACUCUGGGGAUAACAGGCUGAUACCGCCCAAGAGUUCAUAUCGACGGCGGUGUUUGGCACCUCGAUGUCGGCUCAUCUCAUCCUGGGGCUGAAGCAGGUCCCAAGGGUAUGGCUGUUCGCCAUUUAAAGAGGUACGCGAGCUGGGUUUAGAACGUCGUGAGACAGUUCGGUCCCUAUCUACCGUGGGCGCUGGAAAUUUGAGAGGAUCUGCUCCUAGUACGAGAGGACCAGAGUGGACGAACCUCUGGUGUACCGGUUGUGACGCCAGUCGCAUCGCCGGGUAGCUAUGUUCGGAAGGGAUAACCGCUGAAAGCAUCUAAGCGGGAAGCCUACCUCAAGAUAAGAUUUCCCUAGGACUUUAUGUCCUCUAAAGAGCCGUUCGAGACUAGGACGUUGAUAGGUUGGAUGUGGAAGCAUAGUGAUAUGUGAAGCUGACCAAUACUAAUUGCUCGUGAGGCUUGACUAU
This 1281-nucleotide ribosomal RNA is filed under the name Acinetobacter baumannii. Its description in RNAcentral is "partial 23S ribosomal RNA". It matches the Rfam family "Bacterial large subunit ribosomal RNA", at positions 1665 to 2925 of the family's 2925-position model. The record is from RNAcentral. Lineage: Bacteria; Pseudomonadati; Pseudomonadota; Gammaproteobacteria; Moraxellales; Moraxellaceae. RNAcentral also lists the same sequence under 1 other name.